This 253-nucleotide ribosomal RNA is filed under the name uncultured bacterium. RNAcentral describes it as "partial 16S ribosomal RNA". It matches the Rfam family "Bacterial small subunit ribosomal RNA", at positions 524 to 776 of the family's 1533-position model. The record is from RNAcentral.
UACGUAGGGUGCGAGCGUUGUCCGGAAUUAUUGGGCGUAAAGGGCUCGUAGGCGGUUUGUCGCGUCGGGAGUGAAAACCUUGGGCUUAACUCAGGGCUUGCUUUCGAUACGGGCAGACUAGAGGUAUACAGGGGAGAGCGGAAUUCCUGGUGUAGCGGUGAAAUGCGCAGAUAUCAGGAGGAACACCGGUGGCGAAGGCGGUUCUCUGGGCAUGAUCUGACGCUGAGGAGCGAAAGUGUGGGGAGCGAACAGG